ACAGUGGUAGUUCAGUGGUAGAAUUCUUGACUUACAUGAGGGAAAGCUGGGUUCAAUUCCCAGCCAAAGUA
This 71-nucleotide transfer RNA is filed under the name Loxodonta africana (African savanna elephant). It matches the Rfam family "tRNA". From Rfam's summary of the family: Transfer RNA (tRNA) molecules are approximately 80 nucleotides in length. Their secondary structure includes four short double-helical elements and three loops (D, anti-codon, and T loops). Further hydrogen bonds mediate the characteristic L-shaped molecular structure. tRNAs have two regions of fundamental functional importance: the anti-codon, which is responsible for specific mRNA codon recognition, and the 3' end, to which the tRNAs corresponding amino acid is attached (by aminoacyl-tRNA synthetases). tRNAs cope with the degeneracy of the genetic code in two manners: having more than one tRNA (with a specific anti-codon) for a particular amino acid; and 'wobble' base-pairing, i.e. permitting non-standard base-pairing at the 3rd anti-codon position. Lineage: Eukaryota; Metazoa; Chordata; Mammalia; Proboscidea; Elephantidae. The record is from Rfam by way of RNAcentral.